CUACUUACGAAGGCAACCAUAACCACCCACUCCCACCCGCCGCCAUGGCAAUGGCUUCCACCACAACAGCCGCCGCCACUAUGUUACUCUCCGGCUCAACCUCCACCACCGACCACGCCGCUACCAUUACUAGUACUACUACUCAUGACCUGUUAACCGCCAACUUGCUAUCCAGAGCGAUUCUUCCGCCGCCAAACACGGGUCUCAACAACAACCACGUGGCAACCAUCUCGGCUUCGGCUC
RNAcentral lists this long non-coding RNA (243 nucleotides) under Linum usitatissimum (flax). Its description in RNAcentral is "long non-coding RNA (LUSI_LNC000486)". Lineage: Eukaryota; Viridiplantae; Streptophyta; Magnoliopsida; Malpighiales; Linaceae. The record is from RNAcentral.